GACUUGAACCAGCACGCAGAUCGGAAAGCCACUUCGAAGGAAACCUUGUAGAGAAGAAGAGCAACUUUCUAAUUCCUGUCAAACUAAGAGGCGGAACCAAGCCCAGAAGUAGCCUCAAGGCCUGGAGAGAGCAGAGCAGAGAGCAGACUCCACACUCCAGCCAAGGCUCAAGAAAGGCUUUGCUUCUGGAGGCGGCAUUGUUCCUCCAUCCGCUCAGCCUCCACGUCUCCCCUCCGCGGACUCUCAGAAUCACUGCCUUUCUCGGGUACCUCUCCGCCGACCUCCGGGAUCUGGGUGCCGGGGUCCCAGGGCGCACCCAGGCAGGCUCACUGCAGAGGCUGGGGAGCCGCUCCGAAGACUCGGAGCCUCCGCACGAGUCCGCCCCGACCGGGGCAACGCGCAGCGCACACUCACUGUCUCGCUCUUCUCGGCUUCCCUGGCUCCCACGGACUCGGCUGGCCUCUCACUACCCACUCGGGUUCGCCUUUCCUGCCUUGGCUUCCCACACCAGCUCGGCACCGCCGCCACAGCCGCGUCCCGACGCUCCGAACCCUAGCAGGCCGGGAUGAAGGGAUGCCAGGAUCAGGGAUGCACCCGAAGAAGAGAGGCUAAGGCGAGCCGGGGCAGGUGGGGAGUCGCGGGGUGCGGGAGAGGGCGUGCGCGAGCGAGCCCCCGAGAAAGAUGCAUGUGCUCGGCCACCGCGCUGGAAGAAGGACCGAGGGGGCAGGAUGCAACGUGGAGAACGCCCACCGCGAGGGUGCGCAAAACCGGCGAUUUGCAAAGUGCCAGGGCCAGACAGGCAGAGGGGGAGGAAGGAGGCUGGCUGAAGACCAGGAACAGAGAGAAGAGCCCACUUCUCCAUCAAAAGGUCGGUUCGGUUAACGCAUCCCCAGAGCAGGAGUUAAUCUAGGACUGGAUGCAGUGUAAAAGGUGGGUUUUAAAAAACUCUCUGGCCCUGUAGGUCUUCUUAUGCUAGACUUAGCUCCCUCUCUCUCAACUCUAGGGAUUUGCCCUCACUGUGACACAACUGGAAUUUGCAGGAGCUGAAAGCCCACUGUCCUCCUUGCUGUUUAUCUGCAUUUAGGAGAUUCUAUGAAACCUAAGAUUGAAGAAACCACCCAGUUCAUGAAAGUUUAUUAAUUUUUAUUAUUUUUAUUUUCACCAGAAGAUAGUGGAGACUUGACACCAAGAUGUGUUUAAAACAUUGAUCUGAUCGACAUGGC
RNAcentral lists this long non-coding RNA (1223 nucleotides) under Mus pahari (shrew mouse). RNAcentral describes it as "lncRNA (MGP_PahariEiJ_G0003430.1)". The record is from RNAcentral. Lineage: Eukaryota; Metazoa; Chordata; Mammalia; Rodentia; Muridae.